This 100-nucleotide ribosomal RNA is filed under the name uncultured bacterium. RNAcentral's name for it is "partial 16S ribosomal RNA". It matches the Rfam family "Bacterial small subunit ribosomal RNA", at positions 1384 to 1482 of the family's 1533-position model. The record is from RNAcentral.
UACACACCGCCCGUCACAUCACGAAAAGUUGGUUGCUCUUGAAGUCGCCAAGCUAACCUUCGGGAGGCAGGUGCCGACGGAGUGGCCGGCAAUUGGGGUG